This 643-nucleotide long non-coding RNA is filed under the name Urocitellus parryii (Arctic ground squirrel). RNAcentral's name for it is "lncRNA (ENSUPAG00010008906.1)". The record is from RNAcentral. Lineage: Eukaryota; Metazoa; Chordata; Mammalia; Rodentia; Sciuridae.
CCGGAAGUCCGUAGCGUCAGUGCGUCGUUGAAGAGUUUACACCCCCCUCGGCCGCCGUAGGCUGAGGGAGCGCAGGAUGGGGGUCCUGAAGUGGAAGCCGGUCGCCCAAUCGCGAUGAGACCACCGUAGUAGCUGCUGGCCGACCUGGCCGUCGCCUUCAGAUCUCAGCAGCGACUCUGCUGCCCUCCCGCCUGACAGCCGCGCUUUCUGCUCUGCCCACAGUCGGUCACUCUGGGGACCUGGCCGGGUGACCACAGCGCAGUUUAUUAGCAGUUCUCGCUGGGUCUUACCCCGUCACGGUCCUGACUCCUCAGAACCAAAACAAUUACAUGAAGGAGGAAGUUUCAAGAUUGCAGCAUUAGCAUUUCUGGGGACAGCUUUGAUUGAAGAGUGAGGUUUCUGAAUAAGCAUUUAGAGCAGGCCUGGAAGACCCCACGGCAGAGCAUCCCAGUGACCAGCUAUUUUCCAAGAACAGAAGAAAAUGAUCCAGUCCCAGGUAACUGACUUGGGUUGUCCUCAUCAUUUCCUUUCUUCCCUAAAAGAUUUAUAGAAGUUUAUUUAAAAAAAUACCAAUUCAGUUAAUCUGAAAAGUGUAAAUUAAAAAAGUAGGCUCUGGGAAGGAGUACAAUUUCCAUUAUUAUUA